Non-coding RNA from Camellia sinensis, 286 nucleotides. The record is from RefSeq and is a predicted model, not a curated record. NCBI's taxonomy places the organism in Eukaryota, Viridiplantae, Streptophyta, Magnoliopsida, Ericales, Theaceae.
UCUCCAAUCCCUCCACAAGCCAUAUGUUCAAAUCCAGACCCUACACUCCCCUCAAUUGUUUCAGAACCUUUGUCUACGAAGGACUAUCAUCGGACUCGUCAGAAUGGCGAUCUCGAACAGGCUGAUUGCGAUGAGAAAGACCAGGCGGCGAGGCACAUUAACGCUUCAGAAACGAAAUCAGAAGAUGGACAGUUCAUCUCUGCCCUAAUUUUUCUCUCCAUUUCUGCUCAAAUCAACAUUGAAGAGGUUAUUACAAAAUUCGCUCAACUGACACCACAAGAAAAGA